ACAAUUUCCAGUGAAUGGUUCUGCAGCAGAUGUAAAAGUUAAAAUUGAAGAAGCUUUUACAGCCCUCCGUGGCAUCGGUGGGUUUAAGAUAAUGAGGUGCUGCAGAAGCAGGAAACUAAUUGACUUGCCAGUCCCAGCAGGAGGCUACACGGUGUCAUAUUUAAAAGAAGACAGUGGACUAAACAGAGCUGUCGCCUAUGUUGUGCCUCUUCAAAGUGACCUCAUCUUAAUGGCGGAGGAGGAGGACCUCAGUCAGAAAGAUGAGGGUUUUGGAAAAGAGCAGUGUAAGAGGUGUGGACAGGAGGUCCCCAUUCACCUCCUGGUCCAACAUCUAACACAACAUGAAAG
Molecule: long non-coding RNA, 348 nt
Organism: Cyprinus carpio carpio
Lineage: Eukaryota; Metazoa; Chordata; Actinopteri; Cypriniformes; Cyprinidae
Source: Ensembl